GACAGAGGGUGCAAACGUUGCUCGGAAUCACUGGGCAUAAAGCGCACGUAGGCCGUCUACUAAGUCCAAUGUGAAAUCCCCCGGCUCAACCGGGGAACUGCAUCGGAUACUGGUGGACUCGAGAGUUGUAGGGGUGGACGGAACUCCAGGUGGAGCGGUGAAAUGCGUAGAUAUCUGGAGGAACACCGGAGGCGAAAGCGGUCCACUGGGCAACUUCUGACGCUGAGGUGCGAAAGCUAGGGUAGCAAACGGGAUUAGAUACCCCGGUAGUCCUAGCCGUAAACGAUGGGCACUAGGCAAGGGAGGUACCUAUGUCCUUCCUUGCCGGAGCUAAUGUGUUAAGUGCCCCGCCUGGGGAGUACGCUCGCAAGGGUAAA
RNAcentral lists this ribosomal RNA (377 nucleotides) under uncultured bacterium. Its description in RNAcentral is "bacterial SSU rRNA". It matches the Rfam family "Bacterial small subunit ribosomal RNA", at positions 524 to 898 of the family's 1533-position model. The record is from RNAcentral.